Molecule: long non-coding RNA, 512 nt
Organism: Lineus longissimus
Lineage: Eukaryota; Metazoa; Nemertea; Pilidiophora; Heteronemertea; Lineidae
Exons: 4
Source: RefSeq, a predicted model, not a curated record
CACGACAUUUGAAAGAGGUGCAUUCAAUGUCGAGGAUAGAGUAUGCUGCCUACAAGAUUUUCAUGACUUUACAGAUCAAACAAUCCACCUACGGCUAUGAGCACCAAAAGAGGAAUACAAAGCAAUUGGAUCAGUGGGAAAGAUUAAGCGGAAUUUACCCGAUGCCAGUGGAUCAGCAAGUGUCAUCCAUGAAGCCAAUCAAGAGCAUCCUUUCAGACACUGAGAAAGACUCCUCUAAUGAGACAGAGAUAACUGUAAGGAACUGGUUGGAUAUAGCUCAAGAGAGCUACAUCAGCGCCAACGUUACGAAGGAGGUUUGCCCGGUGUUUGGAGAGAUUGGAGAGGAGUGCAUAUUUAUGGUGAAAGUUGAGUCUAGAUGGGGGGCACUCAUGGACAAAACUGAUACCAGGAUUUUUAGGGGUCAAGGAGUAGGGAAGCAGGUGAUUUGUUAUACUUUGCACCUAAGAAAGAGAUUUUGUGAUGCAAUUGAGAAACAGAGGUAUGUAGAUGAA